GAUGAACGCUGGCGGCGUGCCUAAUACAUGCAAGUCGAGCGAACAGACGAGGAGCUUGCUCCUCUGACGUUAGUGGCGGACGGGUGAGUAACACGUGGAUAACCUACCUAUAAGACUGGGAUAACUUCGGGAAACCGGAGCUAAUACCGGAUAAUAUAUUGAACCGCAUGGUUCAAUAGUGAAAGACGGUUUUGCUGUCACUUAUAGAUGGAUCCGCGCCGCAUUAGCUAGUUGGUAAGGUAACGGCUUACCAAGGCAACGAUGCGUAGCCGACCUGAGAGGGUGUUAAGCCACACUGGAACUGGGACACGGUCCAGACGCCUACGGGGAGCAGCAGUAGGCAAUCUUCCGCAAAGGGCGAAAGCCUGACGGAGCAACGCCACGUGAGUGAUGAAGGUCUUCGGAUCGUAAAACUCUGUUAUUAGGGAAGAACAAAUGUGUAAGUAACUAUGCACGUCUUGACGGUACCUAAUCAGAAAGCCACGGCUAACUACGUG
This 497-nucleotide ribosomal RNA is filed under the name uncultured bacterium. RNAcentral's name for it is "partial 16S ribosomal RNA". It matches the Rfam family "Bacterial small subunit ribosomal RNA", at positions 28 to 507 of the family's 1533-position model. The record is from RNAcentral.